AAAUCCUUUUAAUUUUGUCCUGUGAGGCAAGCAAAGGAAUAACAAAUUCAUUUAAAUAAAAUUUAACUAUGUAUUUUUGUUAUACCUAAGCCUUACAGAAAAAGAGGUUUAGGUAUUUUUAUU
Molecule: regulatory RNA element, 123 nt
Rfam family: PyrR binding site
About the family: This family represents the PyrR binding site and terminator structure.
Source: Rfam